This 272-nucleotide ribosomal RNA is filed under the name uncultured Acidovorax sp. RNAcentral describes it as "partial 16S ribosomal RNA". It matches the Rfam family "Bacterial small subunit ribosomal RNA", at positions 1110 to 1382 of the family's 1533-position model. Lineage: Bacteria; Pseudomonadati; Pseudomonadota; Betaproteobacteria; Burkholderiales; Comamonadaceae. The record is from RNAcentral.
AUUAGUUGCUACAGUUCAGUUGGGCACUCUAAUGAGACUGCCGGUGACGAAACCGGAGGAAGGUGGGGAUGACGUCAAGUCCUCAUGGCCCUUAUAGGUGGGGCUACACACGUCAUACAAUGGAUGGUACAAAGGGUCGCCAACCCGCGAGGGGGAGCCAAUCCCAUAAAGCCAUUCGUAGUCCGGAUCGCAGUCUGCAACUCGACUGCGUGAAGUCGGAAUCGCUAGUAAUCGUGGAUCAGAAUGUCACGGUGAAUACGUUCCCGGGUCUU